This 492-nucleotide ribosomal RNA is filed under the name uncultured bacterium. RNAcentral describes it as "partial 16S ribosomal RNA". It matches the Rfam family "Bacterial small subunit ribosomal RNA", at positions 29 to 507 of the family's 1533-position model. The record is from RNAcentral.
AGUGAACGCUGGCGGUAGGCCUAACACAUGCAAGUCGAACGGCAGCACAGUAAGAGCUUGCUCUUACGGGUGGCGAGUGGCGGACGGGUGAGGAAUACAUCGGAAUCUACUUUUUCGUGGGGGAUAACGUAGGGAAACUUACGCUAAUACCGCAUACGACCUACGGGUGAAAGCAGGGGAUCUUCGGACCUUGCGCGAUUGAAUGAGCCGAUGUCGGAUUAGCUAGUUGGGGGGGUAAAGGCCCACCAAGGGGACGAUCCGUAGCUGGUCUGAGAGGAUGAUAAGCCACACUGGAACGGAGACACGGUCCAGACUCCUAAGGGAGGCAGCAGUGGGGAAUAUUGGACAAUGGGCGCAAGCCUGAUCCAGCCAUCCCGCGUGGGUGAAGAAGGCCUUCGGGUUGUAAAGCCCUUUUGUUGGGAAAGAAAAGCAGCAGGUUAAUACCCCGCUGUUCUGACGGUACCCAAAGAAUAAGCACCGGCUAACUUCGUG